This 526-nucleotide ribosomal RNA is filed under the name Nigrospora sp. RNAcentral's name for it is "eukaryotic LSU rRNA". The stretch from base 157 to 310 matches the Rfam family "5.8S ribosomal RNA". The record is from RNAcentral. Lineage: Eukaryota; Fungi; Ascomycota; Sordariomycetes; Amphisphaeriales; Apiosporaceae.
GGGCUAGGAGCUUUCACAUCCCAAACCCAUGUGACAUAUCUCUUUGUUGCCUCGGCGCAAGCUACCCGGGACCUCGCGCCCCGGGCGGCCCGCCGGCGGACAAACCAAACUCUGUUAUCUUCGUUGAUUAUCUGAGUGUCUUAUUUAAUAAGUCAAAACUUUCAACAACGGAUCUCUUGGUUCUGGCAUCGAUGAAGAACGCAGCGAAAUGCGAUAAGUAAUGUGAAUUGCAGAAUUCAGUGAAUCAUCGAAUCUUUGAACGCACAUUGCGCCCAUUAGUAUUCUAGUGGGCAUGCCUGUUCGAGCGUCAUUUCAACCCCUAAGCACAGCUUAUUGUUGGGCGUCUACGUCUGUAGUGCCUCAAAGACAUUGGCGGAGCGGCAGCAGUCCUCUGAGCGUAGUAAUUCUUUAUCUCGCUUCUGUUAGGCGCUGCCCCCCCGGCCGUAAAACCCCCAAUUUUUUCUGGUUGACCUCGGAUCAGGUAGGAAUACCCGCUGAACUUAAGCAUAUCAAUAGGCCGGAGGAA